GAGAGGGCUCGGGAAGGGAGCGGGCUCGCCCUCCGGCAGCGCGCCCGGGAACGCAGACAAUCGCCCGCGGCCGCGCCGCGAUGCCCGUCCACGUAAUUCGGCGCUGACGACAGGAUUCGUCUUCACUAUCAUCCUGAAAAGGACCUCUCUUUGUGUGAGGCUGAGCAUUACAGAGAAUCUAGACCCAGAGGAAAGCAGCUCUACCUUCAAGGAGGCUACAGAAAGAGAAGCUGAAAAGAGGACACUUCUAGAUAAUCAAGCUGAAGAAAUUUCAAUUUACGUAACGUUGCCCUCAUAUCAUAAGACUCCCUGCUCUGGUGCUCUCGGACAAAACCCCAGCAGGAAAACUGCAGCAGCCUGCUGAGAACUGCAGCAGCCCCUCGCAGUCGAUUAAGAAGUGCACUCUGCACUGCCCACCCGGACCUUGACCAUCACUUCUCAUCACCAGCCUUCCAUUCGAUUGCAAGCUGCAGCACAGUCCUUCCCUAGAUGAUGGACCAAGGGGUUCUCAGUGCCCUGAGCUGGAGGACCAUGACUCCCAGAAUUAUCAACUCUCAGUAAACCCUGAAUUGUGUGGGAUCUGCUGCUCCAGCUGGAUCUCUGCAAUCUAUGGGGCCUGAUGGGAUUCAUUCCAGAAUUCUCAAAGAGUUGGAUGAUGCCAAUGCAAAACCUGUCUUGAUGAUUUUUGAGUGGUCUUGGGAAUCUGGAGAAGUCCCAGCUGACUGGAAGCUGACAAGUGUUGUUCUGAUUUUCCAGAAGGGCAAGAAGGAGGACCCAGGAAACUAUAGGCCUGUCAGUCUCACUUCAGUAUCUGGUAAAGUUAUAGAGAAGAUUAUUCUGUGAAGUAUUGAAAAACACCUGAAGGACAACACAGUCAUUGGUCACAGCCAGCACGGCUUCAUGAGAGGAAAGUCCUGCUUAUCCAGCCUGAUUUCCUCUUAUGACAAGGACUCUCUGCUGGCUGUGCCUUUGUUUGAAGUUGUAGGACUGACCAGGCUGGAAGGCGAUGAGGGGACCCAACAUGUUUGCAGAGGUCAGAUUUCAGAAUCAUAGAAUUAACUGGGUUGGAAGAGACCUCCGAGAUCAUCAGGUCCAACCCUUGAUCCAGCCCCACGGUGAUUACUAGAUCACGGCACUCAGUGCCACAUCCAGCCUUUACUACACUACAGUAAGUAAUGUCAUCUCAUCCUUCCUUACUUACUGCUGCACAUCAAGGAAAGUGUGCCAUACAUUGCCAUGACAAUACAAUGGAAAUAAUUACAGAAGAUUCUACAGAGAGAAACCCAUAACGGAGCACUGCCUUUUCUUUCACUGCUAAAGAGGAGCAGAACAAAGAAUUCCUUGCAAAGAAUCCUGACAUCACUUGUUAUUAAUUACCUGUCUACUGAUUUCUUCUCUAAACUGGAUAUGUUGUUAAUGCAGCAGCAAUGAAAUCAGCAAUUCAAGAAAAGAACUGCAUGCAUUCCCACACCUCCAUCAACUCUAGAACUGAGCUAAGUAUUACCCAGAAAAAAAAUCAUCUCCCAUGAACAAAAUUCUUUCAGUUAAACAGUAAAAUAACCCCUCACGAACCAGAUGCAUGUUCUUGCUCAAUUUGUACCUAUAAAGGAGUCCAACUACCGUUAAUGGGCUGCAGUCUACCUGCAAUGCUGAUGCUAAAAGCCCAACCAUUUCUGGCUUUCUGUACUUUCUACCACCUCCAGUGCUAUUCCUCUGUCUGCAUGACAAUCAAGCUGCUUGUCCUCCUUUUCAAAGGCCUGCACUAUUUAGUCUUCUACUCAUCUACUUCUGGCUUAACAUACUAACCUUCCAGCUCUAUUUCUCCCGCAAACAUACUUCUGCCCUCUUUUAUUCUACUUAUUCUAAGAGGAGGAUAUACUCAGAACUUAUUUGCAAAGUCACAAAGUACCUUCUGCUUCAAAUACUUAGUCAGACCUUACUUACUCUGAGAUCUCUUUGCCCAGUAUAGCCCUGCUACAGAUUUGUAUAUGCAGAUACAAAGAAUUGUGGCUCUUCCAAUUUACAAUGUUAUUGUAAUUGGUAUUCAGAUGUUUGUUGGGUUUUCUUCAAAUAAAAAUAGAUGAAGUGCAAUUUUCACGAUAAUCCAGAUGUCUAACAUUGGUGGGUAAAGAGUUGUCAUGAACAUGCAAAUUCUGAGACUAAACCUAUCUGUACUGCUGUGUCUCUUUUACAGAGCUGAAGCAAAUAGUAAAAAAAGAGUCCUCAGAAACAAGAGCAUCAACACAGGAGUCACACAGGCUGCAAAAGCCCAAUUCUAAAAAUUUGUUUCUUCUAAAGUUGAACAUAAGCUGCAGUAACAUAAUGCUAAAUUCUUCAUGCCAACUCACUGGCUUUUAACAAACAGCUCUUUCAAUUUGUAAUAAAGUAUAUAGUACACUCCCAUGCUUUCAAGUUGGGUUCCUGCAAAACAGGUAACAUUUCACUCCUCCUGAUAAAUACACAAACAUCAAUUAGCUAAAAGGCAUUAUAUGACAGUAUUCAGGGCAGAGUAACAGCACCCUAUAAAGCAUAAGGGACUUACUUAAAACAUGGAAAUGACAUUGAAUUUAAGCAAAGGAAGUAGGGCUUCACUUUAGAAGGUAAGAACACUUGGCAUUUCCAUUAUCCUUUAGUUAAAACAUAGGUCCACAAAUGCUGAUUAGAUGUCUACCUAGCCUGCAAAAAAGUCAAGACAACCCUUGUAAUCAAGGCAAGUUAAGAGACCAGGUGGAGGGUAGUUUUUGAAAGGACAGAUAGUUGUGUGAAGCUAAAACAGGCAUCCAAAAAUUCUGACUGUUGUCUCCAAAAACAUGUAGAGACAGCUGCAAAUUCAACUAGAGACUUAUUUUGUUCUCAUUCAAUUCAAACGUGUCCAGGAAUUUGAUCAAACAUGAAGAAAAAGUACUCGAAUCCUUUGUUGCAAAAGAAAAUGCAGAAGAAAAUGUACUGGAAAUGAUCAUGCAGUGUACUCACCAUAAUCCUGAAAAAUCAGAAGUGAAAAUAAGUGCACAAGCAACUGCAAAAUGCUACUUGAAUACCAGCUGCAAUUCAUUGCCAAGUUUUGAAACAUCUAUUCCUUAUUUCUGUUCCUACAUACAUACACUUGGUAUUCUACAUUUAACUUGACAGGAUUUCUCACUUGAAUGUUUGUGAUUUACGAUGUAUUUGCCUUCUAAUUUACUGGAACUGCUGUUUUAUCUGGGGGGAUUUAACUAAAGCUGUUUCCAUAUGUUUUGAGCUCUAAGCUUGAGACCAUGGAUUUGGAACUGUAUAGUGUUUUGCUGUUGGGCAGGUUGGCAUAAAUCCCAUGUGUGGUGUAUAUUCACAUAAUACCUUCAGGGUGUUUUAGUAGGACAUCUCCUAUGACUCAAGCAAACAUGCUGUUUUCCAGCAUUGUAACUAGAGUCAACACUCAAGAGGCGAAGGAUACAUCACCAUUUUGUCUCCGUGUAUCACAACAGACUUGUGUCAAAUCCUUGUCAUUUUACUCAUUCACAGGUGUUAUUGUGCCACAUUACUAACAGAAGGGAUUGACAAUUUUAAUGCUUCCACCUUUUCAUCAAGGACACAAUUGGUUCUUAUGAAAUGCAGACAGCCAAAUCUCACCCAGUGCGAGACAUGCACACCCAUCUCCUGUCUCACACCACGCAGCAGCAAGCCUGCAUGUCACAAAGUCACAGAGACUGUGCCUUUCUCCUGUUGUCCAAUGCCAUCUGCCAGGCUUUGUGGACUACAGAACCAGGAAGAGGUUUCCACAGUGUCCUGUGGUUGGAGAUACGCCACACACGGAGGUUCCACCCUACUCCCUUCUCUUUCUGAGAAAGGAGGUAUCUCUGUUUCCCAGUCACAUAGGUCUCAACUCAGGGAAACAGAAAUUUGAGAGGUCUGAGUGCAGGAUUAGAUAAAGUUCACAGUGACUCAAGAGUGAAAUUCUAGCCCUAAUGACAUCAACAGAAAAACUCUCACUGACUUGAGUGCCAAGAUUUCAGUCCAUAUCCCAAACUAAAGUAUCUUUUAAGCUGGAUGAAAUUUAGGCCCCAAUCCUGUAGGAAAUGUACAUAUCUUUCACUUCACAUAUUGAGCAGUUCAAAUUCAACUGAACCAUUAACAUUAGGUAAAGUGACAUUGUUGGUAAGUGAGAUCCAGACUCUAAUUGUAAGUACAACCUUAAGGUCUUAUAAUGUAGUGAUAGGAUUCAAACACCACAAAAGCAACUCCAGGAAUGCUUGCUUCAGUUUGGAUUUUUUCUUUACUUACUUUUGUCUGAUCAUCGGCUUUAAAUACAUAGCAGAUAC
This is a long non-coding RNA of Myiozetetes cayanensis, 4295 nucleotides long. RefSeq lists it as uncharacterized. The record is from RefSeq and is a predicted model, not a curated record. NCBI's taxonomy places the organism in Eukaryota, Metazoa, Chordata, Aves, Passeriformes, Tyrannidae. The transcript is spliced from 6 exons.